AGUAACGCGUGAGGAACCUGCCUUCCAGAGGGGGACAACAGUUGGAAACGACUGCUAAUACCGCAUGACACAUGACCGUGGCAUCACGGACAUGUCAAAGAUUUAUCGCUGGAAGAUGGCCUCGCGUCUGAUUAGCUGGUAGGCGGGGUAACGGCCCACCUAGGCGACGAUCAGUAGCCGGCCUGAGAGGGUGGACGGCCACAUUGGGACUGAGACACGGCCCAAACUCCUACGGGAGGCAGCAG
RNAcentral lists this ribosomal RNA (245 nucleotides) under uncultured bacterium. RNAcentral's name for it is "partial 16S ribosomal RNA". It matches the Rfam family "Bacterial small subunit ribosomal RNA", at positions 109 to 354 of the family's 1533-position model. The record is from RNAcentral.